This 1017-nucleotide ribosomal RNA is filed under the name uncultured bacterium. RNAcentral's name for it is "bacterial SSU rRNA". It matches the Rfam family "Bacterial small subunit ribosomal RNA", at positions 355 to 1375 of the family's 1533-position model. The record is from RNAcentral.
UGAGGAAUAUUGGUCAAUGGGCGCAGGCCUGAACCAGCCAAGUAGCGUGAAGGAUGACUGCCCUAUGGGUUGUAAACUUCUUUUAUAAAGGAAUAAAGUCGGGUAUGUAUACCCGUUUGCAUGUACUUUAUGAAUAAGGAUCGGCUAACUCCGUGCCAGCAGCCGCGGUAAUACGGAGGAUCCGAGCGUUAUCCGGAUUUAUUGGGUUUAAAGGGAGCGUAGAUGGAUGUUUAAGUCAGUUGUGAAAGUUUGCGGCUCAACCGUAAAAUUGCAGUUGAUACUGGAUAUCUUGAGUGCAGUUGAGGCAGGCGGAAUUCGUGGUGUAGCGGUGAAAUGCUUAGAUAUCACGAAGAACUCCGAUUGCGAAGGCAGCCUGCUAAGCUGCAACUGACAUUGAGGCUCGAAAGUGUGGGUAUCAAACAGGAUUAGAUACCCUGGUAGUCCACACGGUAAACGAUGAAUACUCGCUGUUUGCGAUAUACUGCAAGCGGCCAAGCGAAAGCGUUAAGUAUUCCACCUGGGGAGUACGCCGGCAACGGUGAAACUCAAAGGAAUUGACGGGGGCCCGCACAAGCGGAGGAACAUGUGGUUUAAUUCGAUGAUACGCGAGGAACCUUACCCGGGCUUAAAUUGCAGAUGAAUUACGGUGAAAGCCGUAAGCCGCAAGGCAUCUGUGAAGGUGCUGCAUGGUUGUCGUCAGCUCGUGCCGUGAGGUGUCGGCUUAAGUGCCAUAACGAGCGCAACCCUUGUUGUCAGUUACUAACAGGUUCCGCUGAGGACUCUGACAAGACUGCCAUCGUAAGAUGUGAGGAAGGUGGGGAUGACGUCAAAUCAGCACGGCCCUUACGUCCGGGGCUACACACGUGUUACAAUGGGGGGUACAGAGGGCCGCUACCACGCGAGUGGAUGCCAAUCCCCAAAACCUCUCUCAGUUCGGACUGGAGUCUGCAACCCGACUCCACGAAGCUGGAUUCGCUAGUAAUCGCGCAUCAGCCAUGGCGCGGUGAAUACGUUCCC